This is an RNA transcript of Beta vulgaris subsp. vulgaris (sugar beet), 1154 nucleotides long. It is a transcript of the gene named B-type cell cycle switch protein ccs52A-like, with no coding region annotated. NCBI's taxonomy places the organism in Eukaryota, Viridiplantae, Streptophyta, Magnoliopsida, Caryophyllales, Amaranthaceae. The transcript is spliced from 9 exons. The record is from RefSeq and is a predicted model, not a curated record.
GUUUUUUUCAAAGAGGACCAAGGUUCAGUAACAUUACAGGAUACAGCAGCUCCAUUGAGAGAUCGAAAGAUUAACUCUUCGAAUAUUUCUGCUUCAUUUUCGUCUUCACCUUCUCUUCUUCUACCUUCACUGUUACAGGUAACUAAUUUAUGUGAUAUGGAGAUUGAUGACAUGAUAUGCUUAGUAGGAUUGGCUCAGCAUGGGACACAUCGGCAAUUGGUGCAAACAAUGGCAAAGUUCAAAUACAGAUGACGAGAAAAUCUAAUGGUACAAAGUCUCUCUAUGAACCAGUCGGGUACGUCUUGAUUAUAUGGUGUUCAGCUGUAUAAUUCAACCUGACCCUCGGUUGCGAAAUAAUCAAGUUCGAUCACUCAAUACCCCCAUUUUUCAUCUCAUUCAACAAGAAAAAUAAAAAAAAAGGGGAAAGAAAGAGGAAGUGGCCUACUCCAGAGGGUUCCAAUUUUGCAGUUAGAUCAGAGUAUGUUUCACUCUCUCAAUGUGAUAAAUGGUUCGAGCCAAUCAGAUCUUUAGAUUUUUCAGCUCACAAUGAGCUUAUCUCAGUUACGAAGAUGGAGGAUGAGCUGCUGCAGACCUUUGGCUGUUGAAGAACAAUAUGAGUCUAUUCUUGCAGUUGUUACCGUUGCACAAGAUCUGAAAUCUGUACAAGGAAAGUUACAAGUUCCGAAAAUACAAUAAACAGUCUUUUAGAUUGGGGGAAAAGUUGAUAGUCGAACAAUGGAAGGUGAAUCGCCUAAUUUCUCAAUGAAGGGCAUGAUUGAUGCUGGGAUGCACAAAGUGUUCACCUUCAUGGCCCUUGGUGAGGUCAUUUUGAUAAGGUCCAGUCUAGACGGCAUACAUAGCUUUGGGUUGAAACCUGCGCCCAAUAACUGUUCAAUAACGAAGAUUGCAGGAACAUCAAGUUCUUUUACUCGCUAUUUUGCUUUGUGGCCUAAUGGUCCUUGUUAAUGAUGUGCCACCUAAAGUUAAUCAGUGCCUAAUAUAAACUAAUCUUUUUUGCUGAUAAGCGUGAUUUAAUCCUUGUAAUAGAAUAACAAAUUAGACAAAGCACAAAACCUUGGGGCAAAUUUUGUAACAAUCAAACGGUUUUCAACCAACGCAUAUAUGAAAUAUAAUCUAAUUGCCUUAUUAUCUUA